GAGCGUCAGACGAGGAAGUGCUCCUUUGACGUUAGCGGCGGACGGGGGAGACACACGUGUAUGACCUACCUAUAAGACUGGGAUAACUUCGGGAAACCGGAGCUAAUACCGGAUAAUAUAUUGAACCGCAUGGUUCAAUAGUGAAAGACGGUUUUGCUGUCACUUAUAGAUGGAUCCGCGCCGCAUUAGCUAGUUGGUAAGGUAACGGCUUACCAAGGCAACCAUGCGUAGCCGACCUGAGAGGGUGAUCGGCCACACUGGAACUGAGACACGGUCCAGACUUAUACGGGAGGCAGCAGUAGGGAAUCUUCCGCAAUGGGCGAAAGCCUGACGGAGCAACGCCGCGAGAGUGAUGAAGGUCUUCGGAUCGUAAAACUCUGUUAUUAGGGGAAGAACAAAUGUGUAAGUAACUAUGCACGUCUUGACGGUACCUAAUCAGAAAGCCACGGCUAACUACGUGCCAGCAGCCGCGGUAAUACGUAGGUGGCAAGCGUUAUCCGGGAAUUAUUGGGGCGUAAAGCGCGCGUAGGCGGUUUUUUAAGCCUGAUGUGAAAAGCCCACCGGCUCAACCGUGGAGGGGUCAUUGGAAACUGGAAAACUUGAGUGCAGAAAAGGAAAGGGGAAUUCCAUGGGGUAGCGGUGAAAAUGCGCAAAAAAUUUGGAGGGAACACCAGUGGGCGAAAGGGGACUUUUCUGGGCCGGUAACUGAACGCUUAAUGUGCGAAAAGCGGGGGGGGAUCAAAACAGGGAUUAGAAUACCCCUGGGAAGUCCCACGCC
This 778-nucleotide ribosomal RNA is filed under the name Staphylococcus epidermidis. Its description in RNAcentral is "bacterial SSU rRNA". It matches the Rfam family "Bacterial small subunit ribosomal RNA", at positions 64 to 801 of the family's 1533-position model. Lineage: Bacteria; Bacillati; Bacillota; Bacilli; Caryophanales; Staphylococcaceae. The record is from RNAcentral.